RNAcentral lists this ribosomal RNA (252 nucleotides) under uncultured bacterium. RNAcentral describes it as "partial 16S ribosomal RNA". It matches the Rfam family "Bacterial small subunit ribosomal RNA", at positions 524 to 775 of the family's 1533-position model. The record is from RNAcentral.
UACGAAGGGGGCUAGCGUUGCUCGGAAUCACUGGGCGUAAAGGGCGCGUAGGCGGCCGAUUAAGUCGGGGGUGAAAGCCUGUGGCUCAACCACAGAAUUGCCUUCGAUACUGGUUGGCUUGAGACCGGAAGAGGACAGCGGAACUGCGAGUGUAGAGGUGAAAUUCGUAGAUAUUCGCAAGAACACCAGUGGCGAAGGCGGCUGUCUGGUCCGGUUCUGACGCUGAGGCGCGAAAGCGUGGGGAGCAACAGG